UAGAUAGAUAAUACUUUAUUCGGCUAUAAGCCCACAAGGUAAAACAAAUCAAUAGAUAAAAAUCAAUAGAUAAAAUCAAUAGCAUUUUACAAUCUAAAAUAUCAACUAAAAUAUUUCAACGCAUAAUCUCUAACUGUACCGUGUUAUGGCCUUGAAGAUAAAGAUGGUGCAUAGAGUUUACUGAAUUUUUAAUAGUCAUGCAGCAUUCCCUGAAGUCUUUUAUAAGACAGAACUGAGAUCAGGAAUCUAGCAACCUGUAAAGUUCUAUAAGAGUCAAUGUCCUGGAGUAGAUAAGCUAGAUGUAAUUCAGGUGGUUUAGCAGCAAUUUCCAGGAUGAUUGAACUCAGGAUCCUUGAUCGGGGAACAUUGUAUAAGGGGCAAUUAAACAAGAUAUGAU
Podarcis lilfordi (Lilford's wall lizard) is the source of this 397-nucleotide non-coding RNA. Lineage: Eukaryota; Metazoa; Chordata; Lepidosauria; Squamata; Lacertidae. The record is from the annotation of a GenBank genome assembly.